Molecule: ribosomal RNA, 486 nt
Filed under: uncultured bacterium
Lineage: Bacteria
Description: partial 16S ribosomal RNA
Rfam family: Bacterial small subunit ribosomal RNA
Source: RNAcentral
AUUGAACGCUGGCGGCAUGCCUUACACAUGCAAGUCGAACGGCAGCACGGGUGCUUGCACCUGGUGGCGAGUGGCGAACGGGUGAGUAAUACAUCGGAACAUGUCCUGUAGUGGGGGAUAGCCCGGCGAAAGCCGGAUUAAUACCGCAUACGAUCUACGGAUGAAAGCGGGGGACCUUCGGGCCUCGCGCUAUAGGGUUGGCCGAUGGCUGAUUAGCUAGUUGGUGGGGUAAAGGGCUACCAAGGCGACGAUCAGUAGCUGGUCUGAGAGGACGACCAGCCACACUGGGACUGAGACACGGCCCAGACUCCUACGGGAGGCAGCAGUGGGGAAUUUUGGACAAUGGGCGAAAGCCUGAUCCAGCAAUGCCGCGUGUGUGAAGAAGGCCUUCGGGUUGUAAAGCACUUUUGUCCGGAAAGAAAUCCUUGGCCCUAAUACGGUCGGGGGAUGACGGUACCGGAAGAAUAAGCACCGGCUAACUACGUG